Molecule: long non-coding RNA, 460 nt
Filed under: Numida meleagris (helmeted guineafowl)
Lineage: Eukaryota; Metazoa; Chordata; Aves; Galliformes; Numididae
Description: lncRNA (ENSNMEG00000015332.1)
Source: RNAcentral
AGGCUGCCAGAUUUCACAGAAUUAAAAUACAUUUUAUACCAACUCUUAAACUAUGUCAUUGGCAUGCAAACCUGAGAACUUAAAAUACAGUGCAUCAAAUCUAAUAAUCCUUGUACUUGCCUAACAAAUGCAAAUCUUCAGAUCCUCUACAAAUGUUUUUCUUUCAGGAAAGAACCCAAUGACCAUAUUGUCAGUGCUGAGGUUUUUACGGGGUCUGUGUCCUGUAGCCCAGAGUGUCAGGGAGGGCAACUGGAUGCGCAACACUCCUCUACAUCCCCAUGUCUCUGGCAGGAUCCUGCUCUUCAUGAGCUGCCAUCUCUCAGCAGUUGGAGGAGUCCAGACCAGGAUUCAAGGCAGUGCUCUCCAGUGUCAUCAUGGGAUGUGAGCCUCUGUCCCAGCGUGGGAAGUGAACUCCUGACCCAGCUUACAAAUAAAAAUGCUUCCCAAAAUAAUCUGGACA